CCGUGAGCAGCAUAUGAGUAGCACGUGGUAGAAAAUUUAAUUUCACACUAAUAAUUUUUGUUCUUGUGUUUGAAAGCGUAAAAUCAAAAUAACCAGAGUUAAGAAGUUUUUGGGUAUGGAUUCGACUAAUGAACAACAAAAUACAUUGGAGAGUGUGGAUGGUUUGAUGGAGGAACAGAGCGAUUCCAGUAAUGAUCAGCCAAAAUCAAGAAAAAAAAGGGCUGUCUUGGACGCGCCUCCAACCACUGCAAUGCCUAAUGGAGAACCUCCGGAGGAGUUUUAAGAUGACUAUCUGAUCUUAUUAGAUUUUAUCUUAUGUUUUUAAUGACUACCCACAGACUGCACACUAGUAUUAAUUCUAUUUGGAAAAAUAUUCCGCCCGUAUUUUAGAAUAUAAUUAAGAUUUUUCACGCAUUUGCUAAACAAUGCUUUGUUGCAAUUUACUGAUUGAUUAAAAGAAUAGCGUUAAUCAAAUUAUUUUAUAUAACGUAAGUGAGUAAUACCUCAAUAUCAAAACCUAUUUAAGCAAUAUAUAGUAUAUAAUUAAUAAAACUAUCUAUAUAAAGAAAAACAAUUGUUAAUCUUUCUACCUCUAUAUUUUUAUACAUUCUUUUGAGGACUUCUUUUUUGGUCUCGGUCACUUUACUAGAUGUUAGUCAUUACAGUAUAAGGGAUGCUCCAUUAAAGUUUAAGAUGUCAUAUUCAAAUUCAAGUUGACUUUAAGAGCGAAAGAUCCUUAUCAAUAUUAGCGCAGGAUAAGGUUCUUCAAGGCUCUAUCAGAAAGGGUAUUAAAACACACUUUUUUUAUAUGUCAAUACUGCAGUUUAUACAUAUAGUGGAGAGAUGAGAAUUAAAAAUGAAGUUGCUAUGGCGAAACAAUGGAACUUACGUGGUAAGAAAAAUUUCGUUACUCCCCAACAUAGAUAAACACUUGCCAAUAGAAGUUGUCUAACCAUAGCAAUAAGAUUAUAGAAUCAACUUCUAAAUAAAUUUUUAAUAGAACUUAA
Molecule: long non-coding RNA, 1007 nt
Filed under: Anthonomus grandis grandis
Lineage: Eukaryota; Metazoa; Arthropoda; Insecta; Coleoptera; Curculionidae
Description: uncharacterized LOC126740108
Source: RNAcentral